AAAACCCAUUCCAUGAAAUAAGUGGUAUUACCUGUUAAACGCUAACAGCAAUAUUCUUGUUUCUGACAUUACCAGCUGGCAGAAACCACAGUGACCUUUUAAAAUCUAAACCCAGAGGGAAUAAUUCUGAGACUGAGUCAUCAACUUUGGAAUACAUGCCAUAUCUGGAUUCAAAUACCAGUUUCUGGCUCUGACUCUGCUCUCCAUUGUUGAGAAGAAAUGUCAUGGAGGUCUUUGCAGUUUUUCACAGGAAAUGCAGGAGUCACUGGUUUAGUAUAAUGACUAGCCCAAAUAACAAAUACAGUGGUGCAUUUGGUACUGGAUUUUCACAAGGUAUUUCACAACAGCAGUAUACAACCCUUGCACAAGGCCUUUGUAUCAGUGAGGAACUGCAAAUAACCUGUGACUAA
RNAcentral lists this long non-coding RNA (410 nucleotides) under Chloebia gouldiae (Gouldian finch). RNAcentral's name for it is "Erythrura gouldiae (Gouldian finch) lncRNA (ENSEGOG00005019278.1)". The record is from RNAcentral. Lineage: Eukaryota; Metazoa; Chordata; Aves; Passeriformes; Passeridae.